GAUGAACGCUGGCGGCGUGCCUAAUACAUGCAAGUCGAGCGAACAGACGAGGAGCUUGCUCCUCUGACGUUAGCGGCGGACGGGUGAGUAACACGUGGAUAACCUACCUAUAAGACUGGGAUAACUUCGGGAAACCGGAGCUAAUACCGGAUAAUAUAUUGAACCGCAUGGUUCAAUAGUGAAAGACGGUUUUGCUGUCACUUAUAGAUGGAUCCGCGCUGCAUUAGCUAGUUGGUAAGGUAACGGCUUACCAAGGCAACGAUGCGUAGCCGACCUGAGAGGGUGAUCGGCCACACUGGAACUGAGACACGGUCCAGACUCCUACGGGAGGCAGCAGUAGGGAAUCUUCCGCAAAGGGCGAAAGCUUGACGGAGCAACGCCGCGUGAGUGAUGAAGGUCUUCGGAUCGUAAAACUCUGUUAUUAGGGAAGAACAAAUGUGUAAGUAACUAUGCACGUCUUGACGGUACCUAAUCAGAAAGCCACGGCUAACUACGUG
Molecule: ribosomal RNA, 497 nt
Filed under: uncultured bacterium
Lineage: Bacteria
Description: partial 16S ribosomal RNA
Rfam family: Bacterial small subunit ribosomal RNA
Source: RNAcentral